This 507-nucleotide long non-coding RNA is filed under the name Setaria viridis. RNAcentral describes it as "long non-coding RNA (SVIR_LNC001314)". The record is from RNAcentral. Lineage: Eukaryota; Viridiplantae; Streptophyta; Magnoliopsida; Poales; Poaceae.
AACGAGAUGAGGCCGCCGAACCACUCACUACUCUAGCUAAGCACCGGUCCUCUCCGAUCCCGUCGCCUUCGACGCUUUCCCCCAUCCGCCUAAACCAAAACAAAUCAGCAAAUCCACCACCCGCUCUUCUCGAGCACGGUCGUCGAGGAUGAGCGACCCGAGGUACGCCAGCUAUCCUUACCCGGCGCAAGGUACGUGUUGUUGUUUAUGCCGCUAGCUAGCUACACUGCUCCGACAGCUAGAGAUCAGCUCGCGAUCAGCCCUCUCCUGCUCUGAUUACUCUUUAAUUCCUGUGGUGUUCUUGCCUCCAAAAGGUUACUACCAAGGGCCGUACCAGGGCCCGCCGGUGAUGGCGCCGCCGCAGUACCAGUACGGCCCGCCGCCGCCGCGCAGGUCGCCGGGCUUCCUCGAGGGCUGGUACGCGUGCUACCAUCUUCUUGACAAUAACUUACACCGCUGGGGCGCUUGGGCUUGUUCCCACCAGCCGCCAUCAUUUCGAUCAUCGGC